UCUUGUGUACAAACACAUACUUAUAAAGCAAUAUUCUAAAUAUGUGUACACAAUAUUUCAAAAAGUACUCUUACAAUAGUUUAAUAUUUUCUAGCAAUGAAUAUAUUUCACAAAAUCAAAUAUAAUGUAUUCAAACUUUUACAAUAGUUCAAAAACUCUUCAUCAUCCACUUCAAUGAGAUCAAAUUGACUUGUGGCGACCCUUCAAAUUUGAUCACCUUCAUUUCCCUACACAUUUAAAAUGUACAACAAAUCAGAUUGCAGCAGUACUUAUAGAAGAGGCAAGAAGUUCCAGAUUCCAGCAGUUCCUGAUUGCAGACUGCAGAUUAUUUGAGUUCCAGAUUGCAUAUUACAGUUCCUGAUUCCAGAUUGCAGAUUACAGAUUAUAGUUCCAGAUUGCAGGUUCCAGAUUCCAAAUUGCAGAUUGCAAAACAUGCAUGUGUAUAAAUAACAUAUGCACUCAGAGACAUGUUGGUAUGUAAAGACCAUAAAUUUAACUUGCUAACCUUCUGUUGACGUAACAUAAAGCUUAUUCUGAGAGGACUGUUUCGAAGAAAUGAUGAAUUAGAUGUGGAAGAUAUUGAGUUGACAGAGUUAUUGAAGGCACAAACUUGUAGAAGACAUUUUCUUGAGUCGAGAUCUGUUGUGCGCAUUUGUAAUAGUAAUGCCUCUUUUUCAGAUGGCAACAUUUCUUUAUUUUUUUGCGUAAAUUGAAUUUCAUUUAAGUGUUUGUACCUAAUAAACAUGGACGUUUAUUCUUUUCCUUUGAAUGUGUAGCAAGUUCAGCCUUUUCUCCCGAGACAUCUGCAUUCAGGCAGCCAACAAAUUGCAGAAGCAGAUAAGACAUGUGUGCAUGUUAUCCAAAAGUAAUACCGACAAUGAUAAAUUUAUAAUCCAGAGAUGUACAAUGCAUAGAAAGAUCGACAAAGGAAAACAUGUUGUUGUUAGUAACAAACCUCAACAACAAACUGAAAAGUACAAACAACUCAUAGACUCCAAAGAAAGAGCAAACACUACUGCUCAAUUGACAAGGAUAAUUAUAUCAAGCAACUUCAUUCCUAAAAAGCAUCAGUUUUGUGCAACAGAAAACCACUUCAACCUUUCAGUGGUAGUUUUCCUCUAAAUUCACCACGAGAAACUGCAGCAAUUAAUAACAUAAUUUAUUUGAAUUCAUAAAGUAAGUUAGAGGAGUAAAUGACCAAGAUUAUAAUUUAAAAUAAUAAAUUUACAUUCUUGGUAGUCAAUGAGAAAUUGAGGAAACCCCUAAAAUGGACGAGAAGAUGAAGUAUUUAUAUAAGCUGCAACAUUGCCGGUUAGAGGAAAAGGAGAACCCACAGCAAGAAUUUCCCUUAUUCGGUUUUAGGAAAUGAAGAGACUAUCUGUCACACAAAAAGGUCAAGUUUGAGAAUGCAAGAAAGUGUAGGAUGAGAUACUUUUAUCUAAUGUGGUCUUUUGAUCAUGAAUUAAGAGAGUUGUGUCGUAGGAUAAGGUUUUUCUUCCAUCAACUGCCAGGGAUAAGCCAUAUCUAUUUUAAGCUAAGGUUAUAUCCUCUUGAAAUGUCAUACUAAACAAUCUUGCACCGAUGUAAAGAUAGAUUGCCCAGUGGUUGUUGCAAGUGAAAAGAACUGAAACUUAAAACACUUUAAAAUGCAGAUGAAAGUACUGGUGCAGCUACAAAUUACAAAUUACUAGUAAAUAUUCUUACAAAUUACUUUGUGGCUCCAAAAUUGAGAAUAUUUAUGGCAACUUAAGAACAUACUAGAGGGAUUAAACAAGCAAUUCAUUCUCAAAUCUCUUUAUUUCUUUUUACAACCUUAACAUUACCUCUUAUGGACUCUAAUAUUCUAGCAUAAUGAAUUAUAACAGAACUCUGCUCUACUCGCAAAAUCUUUAAGACUUGAGAAAACUUACUAAGUUCAUUCCUUGCAGAUUGUUAAGAACUUCAUAAAUUCUUCUGAAUAUCUGCCUUUCUAGUGCAUUGUCUAACUUUAGCAUAAAUGUCAA
Molecule: long non-coding RNA, 2003 nt
Filed under: Solanum tuberosum (potato)
Lineage: Eukaryota; Viridiplantae; Streptophyta; Magnoliopsida; Solanales; Solanaceae
Description: long non-coding RNA (STUB_LNC000525)
Source: RNAcentral